This 135-nucleotide ribosomal RNA is filed under the name uncultured eukaryote. RNAcentral describes it as "partial 18S ribosomal RNA". It matches the Rfam family "Eukaryotic small subunit ribosomal RNA", at positions 1299 to 1458 of the family's 1831-position model. The record is from RNAcentral.
UGGUGGAGUGAUUUGUCUGGUUAAUUCCGCUAACGAACGAGACCUUACCCUGCUAAAUAGGAGCCUGAUUCUCAAUCGGGUAUCCUUCUUAGAGGGACUAUGUGCGCAAGCACAUGGAAGUUUGAGGCAAUAACA